RNAcentral lists this ribosomal RNA (549 nucleotides) under uncultured marine eukaryote. Its description in RNAcentral is "SSU rRNA". It matches the Rfam family "Eukaryotic small subunit ribosomal RNA", at positions 1244 to 1805 of the family's 1831-position model. The record is from RNAcentral.
UAGAUUGACAGCUCUUUCUUGAUUUUAUGGGUGGUGGUGCAUGGCCGUUCUUAGUUGGUGGAGUGAUUUGUCUGGUUAAUUCCGUUAACGAACGAGACCCCAGCCUGCUAAAUAGCGUGCGUGGCCUCUGGCCGCGGCAAGCUUCUUAGAGGGACUAUCGCUCGUUAUAGGCGAGGGAAGUUUGGGGCAAUAACAGGUCUGUGAUGCCCUUAGAUGUUCUGGGCCGCACACGGGCUACACUGACGCGUGCAACGAGCAUACCAGCUGGCCCGACAGGGCGUAGGCUAAUCUUUUGAACUCGCGUCGUGCCAGGGAUUGACCAUUGCAAUUGUUGGUCAUGCAACGAGGAAUGCCUUGUAAACGCGGGUCAUCAACCCGCAUUGAAUACGUCCCUGCCCUUUGUACACACCGCCCGUCGCUCCUACCGAUGAAUGUUCCGAUGAAAUUUUCGGAGGGCGCCUGUGAAGCGGUGCAAACCGCGGAACGGGAGGCCCGAAGUUGCUUAAAUCUGAACAUUUCGAGGAAGGAGAAGUCGUAACAAGGUAGCCG